RNAcentral lists this non-coding RNA (56 nucleotides) under Nocardia takedensis NBRC 100417. RNAcentral describes it as "L31-Actinobacteria ribosomal protein leader". It matches the Rfam family "L31-Actinobacteria ribosomal protein leader". Lineage: Bacteria; Bacillati; Actinomycetota; Actinomycetes; Mycobacteriales; Nocardiaceae. The record is from RNAcentral.
UCGGUUCCGGUUCACGCUCACGGCUCUGCUGACGCGGAGCGGGCGACCCGGCGACC